This 207-nucleotide ribosomal RNA is filed under the name uncultured bacterium. Its description in RNAcentral is "partial 16S ribosomal RNA". It matches the Rfam family "Bacterial small subunit ribosomal RNA", at positions 1294 to 1500 of the family's 1533-position model. The record is from RNAcentral.
CGGAUUGUAGUCUGCAACCCGACUACAUGAAGCCGGAAUCGCUAGUAAUCGCGGAUCAGAAUGCCGCGGUGAAUACGUUCCCGGGUCUUGUACACACCGCCCGUCACACCAUGGGAGUCGGAAAUGCCCGAAGUCUGUGACCUAACCGUAAGGGAGGAGCAGCCGAAGGCAGGUCGGAUGACUGGGGUGAAGUCGUAACAAGGUACC